Molecule: ribosomal RNA, 635 nt
Filed under: uncultured bacterium
Lineage: Bacteria
Description: bacterial SSU rRNA
Rfam family: Bacterial small subunit ribosomal RNA
Source: RNAcentral
GAACUUGCCUCUUGGUCUGGGACAACUGUUGGAAACGACAGCUAAUACCGGAUAUUAUGAGAUUCUCGCAUGGGAAACUUAUGAAAGCUAUAUGCGCCAAGAGAGAGCCUUGCGUUCCAUUAGCUAGUUGGUGGGGUAACGGCCCACCAAGGCGACGAUGGAUAGCCGGCCUGAGAGGGUGAACGGCCACAAGGGGACUGAGACACGGCCCUUACUCCUACGGGAGGCAGCAGUGGGGAAUAUUGGACAAUGGGCCACAAGCCUGAUCCAGCAAUUCUGUGUGCACGAUGAAGGUCUUCGGAUUGUAAAGUGCUUUCAGUUGGGAAGAAGAAAGUGACGGUACCAACAGAAGAAGCGACGGCUAAAUACGUGCCAGCAGCCGCGGUAAUACGUAUGUCGCAAGCGUUAUCCGGAUUUAUUGGGCGUAAAGCGCGUCUAGGCGGAAAAAUAAGUCUGAUGUUAAAAUGCGGGGCUCAACUCCGUAUUGCGUUGGAAACUGUUUUUCUAGAGUACUGGAGAGGUGGGCGGAACUACAAGUGUAGAGGUGAAAUUCGUAGAUAUUUGUAGGAAUGCCGAUGGAGAAGUCAGCUCACUGGACAGAUACUGACGCUAAAGCGCGAAAGCGUGGGGAGCAA